AUGAAAGUAAUUUUCCAAGGUGGCCAAAGACUGUUGCCUACCUCUGAAUUUUUAGCAUCUGACACUGCUUCUAAAUUACAUGAUGGUUUGGACUACUGCUUCCUGCAAGUUUGUCCUGAUCUAGGUUUUAAAGAUAGGAUACAUUCAAAGAUGGGACAAGACCGUGACAUCAUGCUGAGUUUAGUCCUGAAAGUGAAUCAUAGAAAUUCCUGUUUACCAAGAUAUUCCAUAUUAUCUUCAUUUAAUUGGAAAGAAGACUUGAGAAAAAUAUUGAAAAAAAUGUGAAAUUCUGAGGCACAAAAUACUUUUUGACAUCUGAUGUUAUAAACUUACCCUUGUAGUAAAGCUGCGAUACAUCACAAAUGAAACAUUCAAUAUUCUUUCCAGUAAAUAAACAUCAGUGGUAUUUUGGAAAUAU
This is a long non-coding RNA of Pan paniscus (pygmy chimpanzee), 418 nucleotides long. NCBI's taxonomy places the organism in Eukaryota, Metazoa, Chordata, Mammalia, Primates, Hominidae. The record is from Ensembl.